UCUGUCGGUCUUCCUCCACCUAUCCGCCCUGCUUCAUUCUCUCAGCUUCUCUUCUGCUGCGUGGUGUUGAUUGUUGCAUUUCUUCUGUUUAUUUUCCCUCUUUCUGGUUCUUAUAUUUUUUUCCCCUUUUUCCUACUCUGCCUUCAUUUUCAGUGUUGUUGGUAGUUUUGACGGACCCCUUUUCUUCAUCGUAAUCCUUCUUUCCUGGAUUCACUCGCCUGCUCUUUGCUAUGCUGGUCGUCGUUCCAGGGCCUUUGGCCCUUCUGUUGGUGUUCAUUCCAGGCCAUCCUGCUUUGUCUGUUCAUCCUAUAUGUCGUAGUGCUCGACGAAGUGGUCAUGAUCAUUAUAGGCAUCAUGUGCGCGCUGGUUUACUGAAGGCCGGCCAACUGCAUUCUUUAGUACAGAGCAACAGAUACAUUAUCCGUGCACAGAUCAAGUAUAUAGUUCCUAAUCAAUCAUGGUGGUAUUUGGCUUGUGAGAAAUGCAAUAGAACACUGCAGCCACAUGGAGAGAAAUAUAAAUGCGUUGGCCCUACAUGUUCUGGAACAGGAGGACCUAGGUACAGCCUCCCUAUUAUUGCCACCGAUCUUGUGGCACCGAGAGAGCAACAAAAUGAAAGAACUAUACAACUUGUGUUCUUUGGAUCCAUAGCACAAGAAAUAAUUGACACCCCAGUUGGUACUCUCAUUGCUGCUAAUGAAGGCGUGGGAAUUUUCCUCCCAACAAAAAUUACUGCCAUCUAUGGAAAACAAUAUGAGCUCCGUGUAAGCAUUUCCUCAAUGUCAUUACAGCAUAUCAACAUCACCUAUCAAGUUGAUGCUAUUAUAGGCAUGGGUAGCAUUCCUGCAUCUACACCACCUCACUUGCAUCUCGCACUUGAAGGACAACCUUCUCAUCAAUCAGCAACAGAAAGCCAGCAACUCCACUCUACUGAUAAAUCUACACUCAUCACUGGCACUGCACCAAAUGGUUCUGGGUCUACACCACCUGAAUGCAAUAAGGACAUCAGCUCGGCAUUACCUCAUAUAGAUAUAUCAGGUACAGAAAAUACUAAGUUUGAGAUCCAUGCAAGGACAAAGGCUCCUGAAUCAUCUGAAAGCAAUCUGUUGUCAACUCCGGCCUCAGUUGAAGACUUAGAAAAAGCUCAGGUAUAUCUCAUAACAUCAUAUCUACUAUAUUGCAUAGAAAAUCAAAUACCUUUUGAUUAUGUAAUACAACAAGAUUAUACUUGCCUUUCCCCAUGCAUCUUGCUGACCCAAAGACAAAAAAGAACAAAUGUUCGAUUGAUGAGGCAUCUCAUAGCCAUGGUAAAAAUGAUCCAAGGUAUGUUACAUAUACAAGCACUUCAAAUUUGUCAUAUACUAUACUACAAUUUCUACUUAAUAAUGCAUUCCAAAUGAACAUUUCAAUAAUUUUCAUGUUUGUUAAUGUGUAACACACCAUGCCUUCCUAUAUAUUCGUUACAGUGAUAUUCAGAUGACGGCUAGAGCUCACCAAUCCAGAUGAACAAGACUAGGGUAGCCUUGCAGUAGAGAAGGACAUCCUAUUUUGACAGUGGACCUAACGCAACUACGCCAGCACAUGCUACUGUGCCUGCCAAUUUGCGAUGGUCCACAUACCUCUACCGUGUGUAAAUUAAAUAGUAGGUAGAGAAUCAGAACUACUAUGGAAUCCUUAGCAACCAAGCAGUGUCAUCCCUGACGCCGCCCAACUAGACCAUCCAACGAAAGGAAGGGAGGCCGCACCCUCCUAGGAAAUGCAUUUAUGCAGGUGUUAGACAUGUGUAUUAUAGCUUCCAAACAGCUGCUAUAUGUAAAUUAAUCAGUACUACGUGAGCUUGUCAAAUAUUAUGCCGUCUGAGCUUGCCAAACAUUAUGCCGUCUGUCAUCGUACUUCUAUGAAUGGACCUCUUUUCUUUCCCCAAA
This is an RNA transcript of Panicum virgatum (switchgrass), 1925 nucleotides long. RefSeq lists it as uncharacterized. The record is from RefSeq and is a predicted model, not a curated record. NCBI's taxonomy places the organism in Eukaryota, Viridiplantae, Streptophyta, Magnoliopsida, Poales, Poaceae. The transcript is spliced from 10 exons.